This is a long non-coding RNA of Sinocyclocheilus rhinocerous, 157 nucleotides long. RefSeq lists it as uncharacterized. Lineage: Eukaryota; Metazoa; Chordata; Actinopteri; Cypriniformes; Cyprinidae. The record is from RefSeq and is a predicted model, not a curated record. The transcript has 3 exons.
ACCAAGACCGAUCAGAUUAAUUCAAGAGGAUAUCUUGCAAAUGAACAGCUUGAUGAACAAAUGACUGGACCAAAGGAUCUGAAAACAAAAUGCAUACGUCAUAGAAACAACCGUGCAAAGGAAGCAGUGAAAAGAAAAUUAAAAAAUGCUGGAAGCA